GACCUCGGAUCGGGCGAGACCACCCGCCGAACUUA
RNAcentral lists this ribosomal RNA (35 nucleotides) under Condylactis gigantea (giant Caribbean anemone). RNAcentral describes it as "partial 28S ribosomal RNA". The record is from RNAcentral. Lineage: Eukaryota; Metazoa; Cnidaria; Anthozoa; Actiniaria; Actiniidae.